CGUGCUUCAAGGAACGGAUACAGGGAAUGACACCCGUGGUUUUGAUAGUUAGUUCACUAGCAUAAUUAUCACUCAAUCUAUGUACUGUUGGGCCAUGAAAAGUUUCUGAAAAAUCUGAGAAUAUGAUUACAGUGAUUUCAUAUUUAAUGUAUGUUGGGAAUCUUAAUAAAACCUCGCACAGUGUAGCCUUGUUCUUCCAUAGCUGCCUAGCUGGUAUAAUUUAGACUCUAUUUUCAAUUUUCGUUUCUAGGUUCUUCCCCUGCCUGAUUUGCCCUGCAAGAAAUUUGGCACCAACUUCUACGUGGUUCUUGUCUUGCUGACUCUUGGUAAUAAAGUUUGUUCAAUUCCAUGUUUUUAGGGAAGGAUUUGGAUGAUGAUGAUGUCAAUCUUAUACUCUUGAUCAGUAAGUUAAACAUUUUUAGCAUUUUGUCUGCAGUUUCGAGUGAAUUACCGUUUCCCUUACAUUCACUAUUAGAACAGUUUCCAAAACAAUUGUCUCUGACGUCUGGUGGCAUGUUAUUGGCUGAUGGUGUAUCAGAUACCUUCCCAGGCACUCGAGGAGUCUUGAUAUAUGUCAACUUAAGAAAUAAUUCCACACAAAUCAGCAGCAGGAU
This 614-nucleotide long non-coding RNA is filed under the name Elaeis guineensis (African oil palm). RNAcentral's name for it is "long non-coding RNA (EGUI_LNC011445)". Lineage: Eukaryota; Viridiplantae; Streptophyta; Magnoliopsida; Arecales; Arecaceae. The record is from RNAcentral.